UCAGGAUAGCUCAGUUGGUAGAGCAGAGGACUGAAAUUC
RNAcentral lists this transfer RNA (39 nucleotides) under Leymus chinensis. RNAcentral's name for it is "partial tRNA-Phe". Lineage: Eukaryota; Viridiplantae; Streptophyta; Magnoliopsida; Poales; Poaceae. The record is from RNAcentral.